AUUGAACGCUAGCGGGAUGCUUUACACAUGCAAGUCGAACGGCAGCGCGGACUUCGGUCUGGCGGCGAGUGGCGAACGGGUGAGUAAUGUAUCGGAACGUGCCCAGUAGCGGGGGAUAACUACGCGAAAGCGUAGCUAAUACCGCAUACGCCCUACGGGGGAAAGCAGGGGAUCGUAAGACCUUGCACUAUUGGAGCGGCCGAUAUCGGAUUAGCUAGUUGGUGAGGUAACGGCUCACCAAGGCGACGAUCCGUAGCUGGUUUGAGAGGACGACCAGCCACACUGGGACUGAGACACGGCCCAGACUCCUACGGGAGGCAGCAGUGGGGAAUUUUGGACAAUGGGGGCAACCCUGAUCCAGCCAUCCCGCGUGUGCGAUGAAGGCCUUCGGGUUGUAAAGCACUUUUGGCAGGAAAGAAACGUCGCGGGCUAAUACCCCGUGGAACUGACGGUACCUGCAGAUUAAGCACCGGCUAACUACGUG
RNAcentral lists this ribosomal RNA (484 nucleotides) under uncultured bacterium. Its description in RNAcentral is "partial 16S ribosomal RNA". It matches the Rfam family "Bacterial small subunit ribosomal RNA", at positions 30 to 507 of the family's 1533-position model. The record is from RNAcentral.